AACUUAACUUGAUUGAAGUUUUUAAUACCAAAACCUCAGGUGGUUUUCUCAGAUAUUAGAAAAUGUCAGGUUUCUGUGUGAUAUCUACAUAGGCUGCGAUACUUUCUCAUAAUUGAUCAAGCACUUUGAGCUGAAAAUUUUUAGGAGUUCCAUUCUUUGUAGUUUGCAAGUUGCAUAAUUUAAUUCUUGUACAAAUUGGUUUCUCAAUCACUUUCUGUUCUAUAUUUUCAAUUUGUUGGCAAGCCAUAAUGAUCCUAAGCUAGCUUUCCACUUUUUUUAAAAAAAUUUUGUUAUGUGAAGUUCUUCUUUGGUUGUACAAAUUUUCAUUCCUUAGGAUUCUCGUCUUCCUUUUUACUCUUCAGUUUCAUUUGAAAGGAGUCAAACUGAAGAAAUUUGUUAAUGAGCUUUAUCUUGGUGUAAUUGCAGAUGUAGGACAGCCAGGAAGUGCUUUAUGAACUGCGUUCAAAUCUAAAUUUUAUUUUUAUAGAAUAGCUUGAGUUUGAAAUCAACAAAAAGAUAAAAUAUUCUAAUCAUGCCGACUAUAAUUUCUUAGUAUCACACCCAAGAUUACCUAUGGCAUCACUCCUAGGGUUAGAAAUAUAACGCAAACAAAUAUCCACCGGAAAACUUAAUAAUAAAAAAUUGCAAACUUAUAUAUUCAUAGGCUCAAAGUAAUGCUAACUUCUAAGCUUGUAACUAACUACUUUAACUCCUAAUCCUUAUUGGACUUUGAUUCUAAAUACAACAUCAAAAUUGACUACUAGAUUUAUUAAGUUAGUAGGAUUCUAAUAAAACUCUAAAACGAAAACAUAUUAAAUUUAUGACCUAUAAACCUAUAGUUAAUCCAUUGCAAAAUUGAUAAAAUUACUCAAAUACCCUUGCUUACCUAAACGGCUCCGCGCUACUGUUUUACUGUGAACACUUGCUAAGCAGGGAGGAAUCUAGGAUUGGAACUUUAG
RNAcentral lists this unclassified non-coding RNA (959 nucleotides) under Hevea brasiliensis (rubber tree). The record is from RNAcentral. Lineage: Eukaryota; Viridiplantae; Streptophyta; Magnoliopsida; Malpighiales; Euphorbiaceae.